Molecule: transfer RNA, 73 nt
Filed under: Ruminococcus sp. OF02-6
Lineage: Bacteria; Bacillati; Bacillota; Clostridia; Eubacteriales; Oscillospiraceae
Description: tRNA-Met
Rfam family: tRNA
About the family: Transfer RNA (tRNA) molecules are approximately 80 nucleotides in length. Their secondary structure includes four short double-helical elements and three loops (D, anti-codon, and T loops).
Source: RNAcentral
CGGAAUAUAGUUCAGUGGUAGAACAGCUGACUCAUGGAUCAGCAUAGCGGUGGUUCGAAUCCAUCUGUUCCGA